RNAcentral lists this ribosomal RNA (479 nucleotides) under uncultured bacterium. RNAcentral describes it as "partial 16S ribosomal RNA". It matches the Rfam family "Bacterial small subunit ribosomal RNA", at positions 28 to 507 of the family's 1533-position model. The record is from RNAcentral.
GAUGAACGCUAGCGGGAGGCCUAACACAUGCAAGCCGAGCGGUAUUGUUUCUUCGGAAAUGAGAGAGCGGCGUACGGGUGCGUAACACGUGUGCAACCUGCCUUCAUCUGGGGGAUAGCCUUCCGAAAGGAAGUUUAAUACUCCAUAAUAUAUUGAACGGCAUCGUUUAAUAUUGAAAGCUCCGGCGGAUAGAGAUGGGCACGCGCAAGAUUAGCUAGUUGGUGAGGUAACGGCUCACCAAGGCGAUGAUCUUUAGGGGGCCUGAGAGGGUGAUCCCCCACACGGGUACUGGGACACGGACCAGACUCCUACGGGAGGCAGCAGUGAGGAAUAUUGGUCAAUGGGUGCAAGCCUGAACCAGCCAUCCCGCGUGAAGGACGGCUGCCCUAUGGGUUGUAACCUUCUUUUGUAUAGGGAUAAACCUACCCUCGGGAGGGUAGCUGAAGGUACUGGACGAAUAAGCACCGGCUAACUCCGUG